This 253-nucleotide ribosomal RNA is filed under the name uncultured bacterium. Its description in RNAcentral is "partial 16S ribosomal RNA". It matches the Rfam family "Bacterial small subunit ribosomal RNA", at positions 524 to 776 of the family's 1533-position model. The record is from RNAcentral.
UACGAAGGGGGCUAGCGUUGCUCGGAAUCACUGGGCGUAAAGCGCACGUAGGCGGUCUUUUAAGUCAGGGGUGAAAUCCUGGAGCUCAACUCCAGAACUGCCUUUGAUACCGGGAGACUUGAGUCCGGGAGAGGUGAGUGGAACUGCGAGUGUAGAGGUGAAAUUCGUAGAUAUUCGCAAGAACACCAGUGGCGAAGGCGGCUCACUGGCCCGGUACUGACGCUGAGGUGCGAAAGCGUGGGGAGCAAACAGG